Molecule: microRNA precursor, 61 nt
Filed under: Pelobates cultripes (western spadefoot toad)
Lineage: Eukaryota; Metazoa; Chordata; Amphibia; Anura; Pelobatidae
Source: RNAcentral
AAGACUAUAAAUAUAAUACACUCUGGUUCUGGAAGCAGAGUGUAUUAUAUUUAUAGUCUUG